RNAcentral lists this ribosomal RNA (207 nucleotides) under uncultured bacterium. RNAcentral describes it as "partial 16S ribosomal RNA". It matches the Rfam family "Bacterial small subunit ribosomal RNA", at positions 568 to 774 of the family's 1533-position model. The record is from RNAcentral.
UGCGUAGGUGGUUGUUUAAGUCUGUCGUGAAAGCCCUGGGCUCAACCUGGGAAUUGCGAUGGAAACUGGGCGACUAGAGUGUGGCAGAGGGUAAUGGAAUUCCUGGUGUAGCAGUGAAAUGCGUAGAGAUCAGGAGGAACAUCCGUGGCGAAGGCGACUGCCUGGGCCAACACUGACACUGAGGCACGAAAGCGUGGGGAGCAAACA